AGUGAACGCUGGCGGUAGGCCUAACACAUGCAAGUCGAACGGCAGCACAGUAAGAGCUUGCUCUUACGGGUGGCGAGUGGCGGACGGGUGAGGAAUACAUCGGAAUCUACUUUUUCGUGGGGGAUAACGUAGGGAAACUUACGCUAAUACCGCAUACGACCUACGGGUGAAAGCAGAGGAUCUUCGGACCUUGCCCGAUUCAAUGAGCCGAUGUCGGAUUAGCUAGUUGGCGGGGUAAAGGCCCACCAAGGCGACGAUCCGUAGCUGGCCUGAGAGGAUGAUCAGCCACACUGGAACUGAGACACGGUCCAGACUCCUACGGGAGGCAGCAGUGGGGAAUCUUGGACAAUGGGCGCAAGCCUGAUCCAGCCAUACCGCGUGGGUGAAGAAGGCCUUCGGGUUGUAAAGCCCUUUUGUUGGGAAAGAAAAGCAGCAGGUUAAUACCCCGCUGUUCUGACGGUACCCAAAGAAUAGGCACCGGCUAACUUCGUG
RNAcentral lists this ribosomal RNA (492 nucleotides) under uncultured bacterium. Its description in RNAcentral is "partial 16S ribosomal RNA". It matches the Rfam family "Bacterial small subunit ribosomal RNA", at positions 29 to 507 of the family's 1533-position model. The record is from RNAcentral.